RNAcentral lists this ribosomal RNA (232 nucleotides) under uncultured bacterium. RNAcentral's name for it is "partial 16S ribosomal RNA". It matches the Rfam family "Bacterial small subunit ribosomal RNA", at positions 99 to 334 of the family's 1533-position model. The record is from RNAcentral.
CGGACGGGUGAGUAAUGUCUGGGAAACUGCCCGAUGGAGGGGGGUAACUACUGGAAACGGUAGCUAAUACCGCAUAACGUCGCAAGACCAAAGAGGGGGACCUUAGGGCCUCUUGCCAUCAGAUGAACCCAUAUGGGAUUAGCUAGUAGGUAAGGUAACGGCUUACCUAGGCGACGAUCCCUAGCUGGUCUGAGAGGAUGAUCAGCCACACUGGGACUGAGACACGGCCCAG